Long non-coding RNA from Nematostella vectensis (starlet sea anemone), 178 nucleotides. RefSeq lists it as uncharacterized. The transcript has 2 exons. The record is from RefSeq and is a predicted model, not a curated record. NCBI's taxonomy places the organism in Eukaryota, Metazoa, Cnidaria, Anthozoa, Actiniaria, Edwardsiidae.
CCCAGACUGGCAACCAGAGGAACGUGUGUCUUCCGAGUCUCUCCUGAUUUUUCUGCCGACAUCCUUGACAGAAAAAGCGCUUACUGACCGCUAGAUACCUAGCAGAUAUGCUUACCACUCUGUCGUCCUCACCCCGCUCCACGCCCUGGUUCUCCUGUGUAACACUAUAAACAAAGAG